AUGUUAGUAAUGACAAUGAGCCUUCCGGUGGGAGGCUCCCCACACUGCUGUUGUCCUCAAUAUAAUACAACAUAUGGUGAAAACCAAACAGAGCACUCUCUCUCUCUCAUCUCUGCCUUUCUCUCUCUCUCUCUCUCUCUGCCUUCCUCUCUCUCUCUCUCUCUCUCUCUCUCUCUCUCUCUCUCUCUCUCUCUCUCUGCCUUCCUCUUUCUCUCUCUCUCUCUCUCUGCCUUCCUCUCUCUCUCUUUCUCUCUCUCUCUCUCUCUCUCUCUCUCUCUCUCGCUCUGCCUUCCUCUCUCUCUCUCGCUCUCUCUCUGCCUUCAUCUCUCUCUCUCUCUCUGCCUUCCUCUCUAUCUCUCUCUCUCUCUGCCUUCCUCUCUCUCUCUCUCUGCCUUCCUCGCUCUCUCUCUGCCUUACUCUCUCUAUCUCUCUCUCUGCCCCUCUCUCUCUCUCUCUCUCUCUCUCCCUCUCUCUCUCUCUCUCUCUCUCUCUCUCUCCCUCUCUCUCUCUCUCUCUCUCUCUCUCUCUCUGCCUUCCUCUCUCUCUCUGCCUUCCUCUCUCUCUCUCUCUCUCUCUCUCUGCCUUACCCUCUCUCUCUCUCUCUCCUCCCUCUCUUUCUCUCUCCUCCCUCUCUCUCCUCCCUCUCUUUCUCUCUCCUCCCUCUCUCUCUCCCCCCUCUCUUUCUCUCUCCUCCCUCUCUUUCUUUCUCUCUCCUCCCUUUAUUUUUCUCUCCUCGCUCUCUCUCUCUCUCCUCCCUCUCUCUCUCUCCUCCCUCUAUUUCGAUCUCCUCCCUCUCUUUCUCUCUCCUCCCUCUCUCUCUCCUCCCUCUCUUUCUCUCUCUCUCAUCCCUCUCUUUCUCUCUGCCUUCCUCUCUCUCUCACUGCCUUCAUCUCGCUCUCUCUCUCUCUCUCUCACUCUCUGCCUCCCUCUCUUUCUCUCUCCUCCCUCUCUUUCUUUCUCUCUCCUCCCUUUCUUUUUCUCUCCUCCUCUCUCUCUCCUCCCUCUCUUUCUCUCUCCUCACUCUCUCUCUCUGCCUUCCUCUCUCUCUCUCUCUCCUCCCUCUCUUUCUCUCUCCUCCCUCUCUCUCUCCUCCCUCUCUUUCUCUCUCCUCCCUCUCUUUCUCUCUCCUCACUUUCUUUCUCUCUCCUCCCUCUCUCUCUCCUCACUCUCUUUCUAUCUUUCUCCUCCCUCUCUCUCUCCUCCCUCUCUUUCUCUCUCAUCGAUCUCUUUCUCUCUCUUCAUUCUGCAUUUUCCCUCCAUCUUUCUCUCUCCUUCUCCAUCAGUAUCUCUCACCUCUUUCUCUCUACCCUCCUUCCCUGCAUUUCUCACCUCUCUUCCUCUUCAUUCUGCAUUUCUCAUCCCUCUUCAUUCUGUCGUCCUCUGCUACCCCAUCCCUCACUCCUCUUUUCUAAGCUAACUACCCCCCUCCAUCUGUCCUCCUCUGCUGUCACUUUCAAAAGUCAUCCCUCCAUCCCACGAGAGAGGCGGAGACGGGGUGCGGGGGUGAGGGGGCAGUGGAAACCCCCCUGGUGUUAA
This 1536-nucleotide long non-coding RNA is filed under the name Oncorhynchus mykiss (rainbow trout). Its description in RNAcentral is "lncRNA (ENSOMYG00000070632.1)". The record is from RNAcentral. Lineage: Eukaryota; Metazoa; Chordata; Actinopteri; Salmoniformes; Salmonidae.